GAGAAGAACGUAGCGAAAUGCGAUAAGUAGUGUGAAUUGCAGAAUUCAGUGAAUCAUCGAAUCUUUGAACGCACAUUGCGCCCCUCGGUAUUCCGUGGGGCAUGCCUGUUCGAGCGUCAUUUAACCCCUCAAGCCUAGCUUGGUAUUGGGUGCUUGUCCCGCCUCUCGCGCGGCGACUCACCUCAAAGUCAUUGGCAGCCCGCAUCUCGCCGGCCGUGAGCGCAGCACAGACGCGCUCUUGGCAACGACGGAUCGGCUCUCCAAAAGCUUAUUUCAACCACUGACCUCGGAUCAGGUAGGGAUACCCGCUGAACUUAAGCAUAUCAAUAAGCGGAGGA
This 338-nucleotide unclassified non-coding RNA is filed under the name soil metagenome. RNAcentral describes it as "partial contains 5.8S ribosomal RNA, internal transcribed spacer 2, and large subunit ribosomal RNA". The stretch from base 3 to 119 matches the Rfam family "5.8S ribosomal RNA", at positions 38 to 154 of the family's 154-position model. The record is from RNAcentral.